GCAGGAAAUAGUUUAAGAAGAAUUUCAGUUUU
Molecule: transfer RNA, 32 nt
Filed under: Loxodonta africana (African savanna elephant)
Lineage: Eukaryota; Metazoa; Chordata; Mammalia; Proboscidea; Elephantidae
Description: partial tRNA-Pro
Source: RNAcentral